AUUCGCUUAGUUGGUCUACUUUAAAAGGCCACUUGAACUCGCUUUCCAUGGCGAUUUGCCUUGUGAGCACUUUCAGGAGAGCCUGGAAGCUGAAAAACGGUGGUAAACUAUACCUACUGUCCCUCAAGAGAACACAAGAAGUGCUUUAAGAGGCGGCGGAAGGUGAUCGAAUUCCGGUGAUGCGAGUUGUUCUCCGUCUAUAAAUACGCCUCGCCCGAGCUGUGCGGUAGGCAUUGAGGCAGCCAGCGCAGGGGCUUCUGCUGAGGGGGCAGGCGGAGCUUGAGGAAACCGCAGAUAAGUUUUUUUCUCUUUGAAAGAUAGAGAUUAAUACAACUACUUAAAAAAUAUAGUCAAUAGGUUACUAAGAUAUUGCUUAGCGUUAAGUUUUUAACGUAAUUUUAAUAGCUUAAGAUUUUAAGAGAAAAUAUGAAGACUUAGAAGAGUAGCAUGAGGAAGGAAAAGAUAAAAGGUUUCUAAAACAUGACGGAGGUUGAGAUGAAGCUUCUUCAUGGAGUAAAAAAUGUAUUUAAAAGAAAAUUGAGAGAAAGGACUACAGAGCCCCGAAUUAAUACCAAUAGAAGGGCAAUGCUUUUAGAUUAAAAUGAAGGUGACUUAAACAGCUUAAAGUUUAGUUUAAAAGUUGUAGGUGAUUAAAAUAAUUUGAAGGCGAUCUUUUAAAAAGAGAUUAAACCGAAGGUGAUUAAAAGACCUUGAAAUCCAUGACGCAGGGAGAAUUGCGUCAUUUAAAGCCUAGUUAACGCAUUUACUAAACGCAGACGAAAAUGGAAAGAUUAAUUGGGAGUGGUAGGAUGAAACAAUUUGGAGAAGAUAGAAGUUUGAAGUGGAAAACUGGAAGACAGAAGUACGGGAAGGCGAAGAAAAGAAUAGAGAAGAUAGGGAAAUUAGAAGAUAAAAACAUACUUUUAGAAGAAAAAA
Molecule: long non-coding RNA, 936 nt
Filed under: Homo sapiens (human)
Lineage: Eukaryota; Metazoa; Chordata; Mammalia; Primates; Hominidae
Source: RNAcentral